UGAAAAUAAGGUGUGAUAUUCCUCAAUUGGAUGCCAUCGUGAUAAUCUUAAAAGUUAAAAUUAAGAGAGAAGAAGGAAAUAUAAUAAUACUCUUUGGCUGUCACAUCACUUUAAAAUACAUAAUCAUAAAUGAAAGGUUCCUCAAGUUAGGAAAAGAAAAAAUAAUAACCUUUUUUGGUACCCAUACAAUAUUUAAAUGACAUCUUUUGGAAUAUUCUAUCAUAAGGUAUAUUUUACAUUUAUUAUUUUAGCUUCUUGGACAAUAAAUCAUUCUCCUUUGCAGGGCAUUUUUGUACUCUCUGAGAUCUCAGACGCAAAAUCAGGGAGAUUACGAGCAUACUGACAUAUGUGAUCAAUGCACUUGAUAACUCUUAACUUGUUCACAGGUUUUGGACAAUCGUCAUCAGUUACACACGGAAAAUGCGCUGUAAUGAAAAGAGAUGAUAACAUAAUGUUACUAAAACAUUAGAAAAGAUUGUGUAUGCACUAUGAAGUAAAAAAGAAAAUGUGAAAAGGAUAAAAAAAAAAAAAAAAAAGCUUACCACCACGAAUUUUUACUGCUAAAAUAAUUAAGAAAAUAAAUAAAUUCAUGGCAUAAAAAUUCUUGAGAAUUUCAACCAUAUUUGUUUCCACUUUGCUUGUAUAAAAUAGAAUAUGAUUUAAUAUUUAC
This 670-nucleotide long non-coding RNA is filed under the name Medicago truncatula (barrel medic). RNAcentral's name for it is "lncRNA gene33593". The record is from RNAcentral. Lineage: Eukaryota; Viridiplantae; Streptophyta; Magnoliopsida; Fabales; Fabaceae.